This 395-nucleotide ribosomal RNA is filed under the name Stramenopiles sp. MAST-3J. RNAcentral describes it as "partial small subunit ribosomal RNA". It matches the Rfam family "Eukaryotic small subunit ribosomal RNA", at positions 582 to 975 of the family's 1831-position model. The record is from RNAcentral.
AUUCCAGCUCCAAUAGCGUAUAUUAAUGUUGUUGCAGUUAAAAAGCUCGUAGUUGGAUUUCUGCGCCGCGCAACUCGGUCCGCUGCACUGCAGUGUGAUGUGUGGUUGGAGCGUCGCAUCCUUGUGGGGACUGUUUGUGUCAUUAAUUUGAUGGAUUCCGGAACCGCAUCGUUUACUGUGAAAAAAUUAGAGUGUUCAAAGCAGGCUUAUGCCGUGAAUACAUUAGCAUGGAAUAAUAAGAUAGGACUUUGGUUCUAUUUUGUUGGUUUUCGGAAAUCGACUUAAUGAUUAAUAGGGACAGUAGGGGGCAUUUGUAUUCAAACGACAGAGGUGAAAUUCUUGGACCGUUUGAAGACAAACUACUGCGAAAGCAUUUGCCAAGAAUGUUUUCAUUA